RNAcentral lists this transfer RNA (65 nucleotides) under Tenebrionoidea sp. 17 KM-2017. RNAcentral describes it as "tRNA-Leu". It matches the Rfam family "tRNA". Rfam says of the family: Transfer RNA (tRNA) molecules are approximately 80 nucleotides in length. Their secondary structure includes four short double-helical elements and three loops (D, anti-codon, and T loops). The record is from RNAcentral. Lineage: Eukaryota; Metazoa; Arthropoda; Insecta; Coleoptera.
AUUAUUUUGGCAGAAUAGUGCGUUAGAUUUAGAAUCUUUUCAAGUAGUUUAAUCUACAAAUAAUA